UUCCCGCAACAUCACUGAGGAAGGACAUCACUCCUAUCAAGCCAUUCACAGAUCCUCUGCUAACCUUUGUCUCUACCCUGGCAAUAGAGGAGUUCAGUCUCUUUCGUACACACAGUUACCCCGGCUCUCAGGCUCGUCUUCUAUGAAAUAAACAAGACAACACCUCCAUUUGUUGAAUUCUACACAGAAAUCGUGAUGGAAGCAAACAUUAAGUGAAGAAGACUCAAACUGAAGAGUUUUACGAACCUUACACAACGAGCUAUGAGGUCGUCCUCGGCACUAGCCAACCAUUGCUCGAGGAUUACUUCACUUACGCCCUUAGACACCUCUUCAGAAAAGUACCGGUUUUACGAACGUGUUACGGGGAGCGAAACGGCGAAAGGUGGCUCAGGGAGAUGUCUCACGAAAAAACCGACUUCCAGGUGAUUGAAAAUGUUACAAAAGAAGAUGUACAACAAAGAACUGCAUCGGUACAGCUUUGACAAGAAGAACGGUUCUCUGUGGUGAGUCAAACUAUUACGAGGAAGUGUGGGUGACAGCGUGCAAGAGUAUCCUCACGUGUACACUGUUUAUUGGAAUCCAUCACGUUAUCACCGAUGGCUUCCUCGUCCAAGUCCUCCGACUUAGUGAUGAACAACUUGCAGUCUUCGUGUCACCUGAGAAGACAGAUGCGAUAAUAAAUGAGAAAGUGGAAGCAUUGCGGGCUAACUCCGAACUUCUACUCCGUCAAAUAAAGAGUUUCAAGCUUGGCAGCAGAAGUCGCUCUUCAAAUCGACCUACAAGAUAAAUGAAGACACGACACUUACAACGAGCUUCGAAACCAUAGAUUUUGACUAUGACACCACAGCCUCUUUCCUUAAGCGGUGUCGUGCUGAAGGCGUUACUGUCAACUCAGCUUAUACGGCCAUCGCUAACCUAGCUAUGAGGGAUCUCCUAAUAGAUGGAGGCCUUGGGAAGGACACGUACAAUAUCCGCAGCGACCACGCCUUCAAUGCUCGUAGGUACUGGGGAGAAGACUCUGGUGGUGAAUACCUGGGGUGUCACGUGAUGCCACUCGUGCCUGUGACGGUCAAAACGCCCAGAAACGCCCGCGAAAAUAUCUGGAACUACGUAAGACUAACGAAUCGUGAACUCAGAAGAUUACGACAGAUGCUGCAUUAAAAGAAGAAGCAAUUAAGAAAUGCGUACCCGAGUACUCUGGUGUUUUUGAAUUUGAUUAUACUGUCUCCAACAUGGGAGACGUAACACAUUUGGUAAUGAAAGGUAGUCAAAAUGUACAGCCGAUUCAUAUCUUUAGUUCCGCCGCUAUACACAAUGUCCCUGCUACUUUCUGCCAUUUCGUCUAUACUUUUCGUAGUCGUCUUGCCGUCAACAUUUUGUACAGCACAGAACGCAUUAAACCAGAGACAGCAAAACAGUGUGGUCAGUGGAUAUUCAAAUAUCUGCAUGCAUCACUUUGUGAGUCUGAAUGAAAGUGACUGAAGAAUCUACGAAGGUAUUCUUUAAGGCAGAGGGAUGUUUUGCCGGACUGGGGUUAUGGUGAAUGCUAAAAGAAAGUAUGAGACGUUCCUGUUCUUCAGGAGUGUUUUCGGGAAGACUUGUGAUUAAAGCAGAGAGUGGGGACAGUUAAUGUUGUUUCCGUAAUAUACAUAUUCAGUGACUAAAGUGACUUCUUGUGAAUAAGUGAGGACAUGGCCCAUGGUUAUACUGUACAAGCAGGUUUAAAUUCACUGGGCACUUACCCACACAACUCAUAAUUUUACCAUGUUUGCAAAUACUUGUAAGCUCUGUGUGUAAGUUCCUUUGUGAAAUAUUUUGUGAAUUAUUUUGUUAUUAACCUUUCCAAAAUACUAUAAUUAUAUUACCUUUUUAAUAUACCUCA
RNAcentral lists this long non-coding RNA (1882 nucleotides) under Penaeus chinensis. Its description in RNAcentral is "uncharacterized LOC125043334". Lineage: Eukaryota; Metazoa; Arthropoda; Malacostraca; Decapoda; Penaeidae. The record is from RNAcentral.